Molecule: long non-coding RNA, 5392 nt
Filed under: Sus scrofa (pig)
Lineage: Eukaryota; Metazoa; Chordata; Mammalia; Artiodactyla; Suidae
Description: lncRNA (ENSSSCG00050054738.1, ENSSSCG00060035928.1)
Source: RNAcentral
AGAUCAGGGCAUGUACAUUUUGUAGACUUAUUCCCAGAUGAGCCAUAACAAAUAGCUAAAGCAUACUUUCCACUGGUGGCAAAUUGCUCCUGGGAAACAUACUGAUUCACUUGUGGAUUAAAAACACAGCAGUUAGAAUCACUUUCAUAUAGGCUAACUUCACAGCUCUUGAUAGUGAAGAGAAAUUUUUUUUUUUUUUUUUAGCUUUCAAAAGAUUCAUAGAUGUCUCCCUAUUUCUUUGAACUGUCAUUAUGUUUAAAUGGGGUGAGAAAACUACCAAAAAUGUUUAAAUCAUGCGUUCCUGAUGCAAACAUCAGUAGUCUCUUGUCUUUUACUAACUACAUUUAAACAUACCAGAGAUGAAAUUGUUGGACUAUGAGAUUACAAUCCCUUUUGACGGGUUAAUAAUCUUGCUUAUUAAUAGAAACAAUUCAGACCAGAAUUCUACCUUGCAAUUUUGCUAUGGGAAGUGUAGGCAAGAUUUCACCAAGAACAAAACAAUCUCGCAAACCAAUUUGAAUGAUCUGAGAGCUGUGUUUGCUUAAUGUACAGUUUAGUAGUGGUAUCACGCUUUGGCUCUGUUGUCCUUUCUUUGAACUCAAGGGUAGGCUUGGGGGAUGUUAUUGGAACCACAUGCUUUCAUUCAGGUUGACGGUUUUCUUCAGAAGACAUAGUAGGGUCUUCAUGAGUUGUCUCAGGUUGCAAGUCAGCUGUCCAAUGAUGAAGAAUCAUCUAUAUGUUUCAGUGGGUUUAGGCUUAAAAAACACUCUCAAGAUAUUAAUUUGCCAUUGUUUUAGGUAUAAAAGUGAAAUAUUCCAAAACAUGAUAUGUUAAAGUUUACAGUGGAAAUAUUUUCAAAUACAACUAGGUGGUUGAAUUUUCAUAGUAUAAUGCUUUUUCUCAUUUUUAUCAUGGAAAAGCACAAAUAUUUUAAAUAUUUUUGUGUUUGUUUUUACCAAGGAAAAACCACUCGAAAAGCAAGAGGGCAGUUUGAUGUCUAAAAUGGAAAGGGUAAAUUGCUGCCCUAUCACAUAAGUGGCUUUUGUAGGUUGGAAGUGAAAAAUAUUUUUAAUUUAAAAGUGAAUUUGGAGAUCUGAGCAUGCUCACUGUACAUCACUUUAAAAUUAUUAAAGUAGUUUGAUUUAAUAGAGUGAAUCUUCUCAGGCUGAGGAGUACUUCACUUUGCACUGCAAAAGCUCAGAUGUUAGAACCCGAUCACUUCCCAGAUGAAGAGCUUAUAAAAAAAUGUGAAGUACUCUAAUAAUUUUAAAUUACUCUAUAUUGCACAUUUUCAGGUCUCUGAUCACCUCCAAAUUCAAGUGCUUAUAAAACUGCUCCCAUAAUUUUAAAUUGCUAUGUGCACAGUGAUUUAAAAUUGUGAGAGUGCUUCAAAGUUUUUUAAUAAGUGCUUUAAUUUAGAAGUGAGUUGAGCAAUACUCCAGUAUAACUUCAAGAAUUUAUUAAACCGAUAUAAAAAUUUAUCCUCUGGAAAGAAAAUUACAUUACGUAUAAAAGGGUGAGGCUCCAAAUGAAUAUAUAUGAGGAUGAAAGUACCAAAUGCUCAGGAACAAUCAGUAAAUGAAAUGAGAUCAUGGGGUCGUAGGUGGGGGGUUUGUUUGGUUAAUUUUGUUCACUGCUUGCCUGAGGCUAGCGUUCUUGAAAAUCUAACAGAAAGGGAAGGAAGGAAGAGAGAGCCUGGUGGGAGAGUUUAUCCCUAAGACAUCUUUCCCCACUUGUCAGUAAGGUAGCUCCUGGACCCGCCUGACUCCUGAAUUUCUCAUUUUUCAGAGGUAAACAUGGCACAUUUUAAAUUGUACUCAGGGAUGAGGGAAAUGGUUUUCAUUAAAAACAGAAUUCCUUUCAUAAACCAAUAGAUCUAGUCACCCUAGGAAAAGCAUGUAGAUUUGGUUUUCUGACCACGAUACCCCAUUAUUAUUACAAUGCAUGAGGUGAUUUGACCUUAAACGGGCUACCAUCCUACAUGGAUCUAGUCUUACACUACCUGCUUGGGGAAUAAAAUAUCUUGAGUUGUGCUAGCUGCGACCAGCUUUUCCAUGGCUUCUCCGGCUUAUUUUCCAUGCUGUUCAGGUAAACAUGGUGGUCCCCUUUGACUGAGUCACCGAUUUUGUCUGACUGCACCAGCUGAUGUGUCUGAAAUAUCAAACCGUUUGACAGGGACAUGAGGCCUCUCAUGUACUGAACUAGAAUUUUAUAAUGUCUUUGAUUAAGAACAUGAACUUGAAACACAGGAACCAUAAGGAUGUUCUUUUGUCCAGUCGUGAAAAGAUGGGGAUUUAUAAUGUAUGGUGAUUCUUUGCACAUUUUGUGAAACCCCCAUAGCCUUCCUUACAGGGAAAAAGGCAUUUACAGUUACUAAGUUGAAGAUGAAAUAAAAGUCAAUUGACUGCAUGUUUCAGCAGUUCCUACCUCAGAAUGGAAAAUUACAUACAUCAUUGGGUUCUAAAGUGUAAUAAAUGGGUGGAUGUUAGUUCUUGUUUCUCACUUUGCUAUAAAUAUUACUGUGCCUCAAAAUAUUUGAAGUAAUUCUCAUCUUCAUUUUUGCUGUAUGUAAAUAUUCUUGAAAAUGACUCUUAUCUUCCUAUAUUUUUUUAAAUAUAGGAGAUUAGUCUCUGUCUAUAACACAGGGAAACAAGACUUUCUGAAAUAUCCCGGAUACAUAUAUAAAGGACAGAAAGGUUGUAUGUGAGACCUUGAAAAGAAUGUGAUUUUUUUAUGACAAUUUAUCAUUUAUCCUGGAUCAACAUUUUCUAGCACUCUUCUAGCUUUGCUAAAGCAAAUUGUGUUUUAUGUCCCCAGCAGAAUACUCGAUAACUGGUCUGGCGAUGAUGAGGCAUAAUAGGAGUUAUCUGGUCCCAGGAAAGUCAUUGGUUUGCGUUCACUGCCAGAGUCUGGUUAUCAUUGCAGGGCAGGAUUAUCUCAUUGUUUUCUGCUGCCAUGAUUUUGUUUUGACUUCUCAAAUCUCCACAGAACACUCAUUUAGAAAACCCUCCACAGUGGUUUGUUCUUACUGGGGAAACGAAGGCAGUGGGGAGGGAAGGACAGAAGGAUUUUCUUUCUUUUUCUGAGUCCGUCCUGGGCAGAGAGUAAGAUGCAGUUUUUUCUUAGCGUUGUCAGUGCAAGCCUAGCCCUUUCACUGCCCAGUUUAUUACUCCUAUGCAUCGCCUUAAGAUAUUGCUCCAAAGAUCAAUACCCUGAUUUCCUUUCCAUCUGCCUAGACUAAGAUAAUUAGGCUCUUUACUUCAUUUUGUAUGUAAUGAAGGCGGCAACUCGUGAUAGUAGAGGAAAAAAGCUAUCUCCCUAUGGUAAAUGUAUUGACAUUUACAGAUACCAGCGGAGCACAACAUGAGGAGAGUAAUGAGAAAUUUCACUGCUUUCCCCUCUUUCUCUGUUUCCUGGCUAGAUCCCACAGCGAAUCACUAGCUGCAAAGAGAAGGGACGGCUUAGGGACCGACAAUUGAGAGCAUUUACAAUUAGCUGCAUUGAUUAACCUUUACAAAUGCUGUUACUUUAUGAGGUGUUUUUCUCAGCCCUGGUUGAACAGUAUGCGUUAUUGAUUCAACAUACUCCUUUACGAAAGCCCUGAUUUGUCCGUGACUCCACCAGUCAUAAUGCCUGCCUUGGUAGUCGUUUCUGCAUGUUCUCGGGAAAACUUGACACGGAAGACUGAUUGGCAUUAUGUAAAUGGGGUCCACAUCUUCCUUUAGGAAGGGUGUACAGCCGGCAGAAACCAGGGCGUAGACCUGCCUCCCUUCAUCCCCAUCGCCAGGCGCAGACACAAAGGAUGCCAGCCUCGCGCCAGCCGCUUACUGCUGCCCAAUUCACAGCAUCACUCCUAAUAAGCGGCCUGCAGGAGGAAAAGAGCCUCAGACACUCCUCCAUCUCCUCUGUAUUCCCUGGUUUUUAUUUAGGUUUCCUGAAAUAAUUUGGAGUGUGUGUGCAUGCGUGUGUGUAUGUGUGAAAGAGAGAGAGAGGGAGGGAGAGAGAGAGUUUGUGUAAGGGAAAGGGGUGGUGGGAAAUUGUCCAAAAAAUUGUUUUUAGCUUAAUUUUCUUCGAAGAUUGUAGACCGACUUUGAUUGCCGCUUUGGCUGGUGAUUCCAAAAUCUAUGGUGGAAGGCAUUUUCCUUUCAUCAGUUUGAUUCAGAGAAGCUCAGUGCUUAGAAAUAAUAAAUAUCACCUAGAAAUGGCUGCCUUCCACCCCUCCUGCCCCAUAGAACUAUAUGAAUAUAAAUUGAAUACUAUUUUCUUUUUCUUCCUCUCUUGCUUCCCUCUCUCCCCAUUUCUUCCUUUGAGCCUUCCCUUAUUCUUCAUUUCAAGGUGUACAUUAGUAUCAUCUGAAAGAUAAAAGGACUAAAAGCUUGAAAUACUACAGAGUAAAUCCAUCAGCUGUUCUGUCAGGAUUCCUAAAAUGUAUUCUGCACCCAAGACCAGUUAUAUGAUAUGCAGUGCAAAAUAAAGAUGCAGGGCCCCUUGUUCAUAAAUUAUUAAAAAUUUCUAAACAGUAACAGCAGAGUGUUAAACCCAGCUCUGUUCCUCUAAGAAUGAGGCUUGUGUGAUUGCACAGAUCACACACCCAGGAAGUAGGCCCUGCCAUCAUCUUUGCCAACAGUUAUUUCUGAAAAGAUAGUAGGAGACAGGGGCCUGGGUGGGGGGAAGGUAGUAUUUGUUUUCUUUCCCAACUCGAGUUUAAACUUCUCUAUUGUGAGACUCAUUUUUUCUGGAUCAUGCCAAAUUGCAUAUGCUCCUUUAUGACUUGAAAUGCCACUUAGUUGGGUUUGAACUGAGAGCACCGCCUUUAUGCCCAUCUUCUGCAUAGCAGAUUCCAGCGACUUGAAGCACUUUUUCCAUGCCAGAAUUCUGAGACUGGAGUAUUUGUCACUUUGCGCUUCCAGGAACGGCUGAAAAAAGUUUAUUUUGCUUUAUGUGAUUAAACUGAAUGUUUGUCUUGAUGCAAAUGCAUAUACAUGUGCAUUUAUUCUAAUAUACAUAUCCAAACACAUGGGAUUUUUUUUUCCCGUACAUACAUGUGCAUAACAGAAUUGAGUUUAUGGUUUUCCAAGACACAGCUGAACAAUGAUGGAAGACAGCCAUUUUUUUUUUUAAUGAAGAGUUGAUGCAUUUUUAAAGGAAAAAAAUCAGGAAGCUGCUCUAACAGACUCUGCAGCAUUCACAGCAUGACAAACAAAUUAGAAAACAGCAGAUGCAGCACAAAUUAAGAUGUAUUUAGCACAGCAGCCCAUCAGAUGUGUGAACGUCUUUUGUAACUCAGCUUUGCAAGGUUGAUGUAUUGCACUUUAGACAGCUGAUAAUGAACCCUCCUAGCAAUUAGAAGUGGAAAUACUGAGGAGUCAAAAUUGUGCUGUUCCCAGUGGGC